UAGGGAAUUGUUCGCAAUGGGCGCAAGCCUGACGACGCAACGCCGCGUGGAGGAUGAAGACCUUCGGGUCGUAAACUCCUUUCGACCGAGAUGAACAUCCUCUGACCUAAUACGUCGGAGGUCUGACAGUAUCGCGAGAAGAAGCCCCGGCUAACUCCGUGCCAGCAGCCGCGGUAAUACGGGGGGGGCAAGCGUUGUUCGGAAUUACUGGGCGUAAAGGGUUCGUAGGUGGCCAGCUAAGUCAGACGUGAAAUCCCUCAGCUCAACUGGGGAACUGCGUCUGAUACUGGUUGGCUUGAGUGCAGGAGAGGAACGCGGAAUUCCAGGUGUAGCGGUGAAAUGCGUAGAUAUCUGGAGGAACACCGGUGGCGAAGGCGGCGUUCUGGACUGUAACUGACACUGAGGAACGAAAGCCAGGGGAGCAAAC
This 427-nucleotide ribosomal RNA is filed under the name uncultured bacterium. RNAcentral's name for it is "bacterial SSU rRNA". It matches the Rfam family "Bacterial small subunit ribosomal RNA", at positions 355 to 773 of the family's 1533-position model. The record is from RNAcentral.